This is a long non-coding RNA of Carya illinoinensis, 1588 nucleotides long. RefSeq lists it as uncharacterized. The transcript is spliced from 2 exons. The record is from RefSeq and is a predicted model, not a curated record. NCBI's taxonomy places the organism in Eukaryota, Viridiplantae, Streptophyta, Magnoliopsida, Fagales, Juglandaceae.
AAUCUGGGGAGUUUUUGCAACUAUUUUUAGAGAAAUUGAAAUCAUAAACAUUUUAUAUUGAGUUCUAUUCAUUGUAUCACAGGCGAGGAGUUUGCUCAUCCCAAGUGAAGAACCCCAACAACCAACACCAACUGCAAAGUCUAAAGCCUAAACAACCAGUGGCAACAUCGACAACUGUAUCCUAGUCCAGACCACGGCAUAUAAGCUAACUCUUAAGAAAAUUUAAUCUUUUUUAGAAAAAGUUACUGAACAAAAGUUAUUUGACCUCCUUCCAUGGUUGUAAGUUAUGCGGAAGGGGGCAUAGAACCGGUUAGAAGAAAUUAGUUUUCAUGUUUUUUCUACUGCAAAUUUCACUUUUGGAAAUUAAAUUCAAAGGAUCUUUUAUGCAACAAAUGGUCCUUUUAAAUAGUAAGAGUGGAAAUGCAAUAAAUGGAUAAAUGAGUGGUCAUAAUAAAGUGAAAAGGUUGGAAUUGGUGGCGCUUGAUUCUUGGUUCUCUGUCUUUUAAUUUAUUACCUCCCAUAUGAAACUUUCUUUUGUUCAUAUAGCUAAAGUGAUAGUAAGAUGUAGUGAGGAAAUAUGUCACUAAAUAUUGAAAAUGUAUAUUGUCAGGGAAGCAAGUCAUUAGAAGGAUUUCGAGUAGUAUGAAGAAUAUUGGAAUUCAGUGAAAGCCAUAUCAGAUUGCUAAAUUGUAUUAUCUUGAGCGGCUGCAACAAAAUGCAUGAGAAGAUUUGGAGUUAUAAAGUGCCAAAUUCGUUACUGUGGAAGGGACACUAUGAUGCCACUGUUUUACUGGAAAUUCAGAUUCCAUAAUGGUUUUGGUAUGAGAAAGAAUUUUUAGAAAAUGAAAUGGUCAAGAGGGGAGAUGAAGAAGGGGUAAUAAAUAUUGAGAGGCCACACCAUCUGGAGGAUAUAAACGAAAUUAUAGUAUAUGCCCCUAUGUUUUUUAAAGCAGAUCGUGAGCUUGGGUUUAUUUGUAUCAUGAUGCCAAGGUAACCAACCAUUGGCAGCUCAACUCGUGUAGGCCAUAUCGAUCAUAAUGAAGUGCUAUAUUUCGUAAAGGAUGAGCUAUAUUUGGAUAAUGAUGAUGUAAUGAAUCAAAGUUAAAACCAGUGGUCACUAUAAUGUUUUUAACACUAAAGCUGAUGUAUGCCUGCAACAGAUGUGGCCAACGAAGUGCUCCUGAUCUUGUAGCUGCCACUUCUCCUGCUUCAAUGAACAAUUUUCAAUACAAGAAAAUCGACACGCUUCAUAACCAAGUCUCUUCAACCCAAUGGAACUUGGAGGUCAUGAGAAAGCAACAGAAUCAGUAGUGUGACAAUCUAGAAUAUGCGCUUUCUCUGUAAAAAGUUUUUAUUUUGGGGAGAUUGAGAUUGGAUCAUUGGCACAUAUUUAAUAUCUCAUUUUCUGUCAUUUUCAGUCGUGAUAGAUCAAAACACAGAAAACUUUAGCAUUUUAAAAUUAUAAGUGGGAUCCAUGAGGUCAGAUGCAGUUUGGGAAUUGGGAUGUAAUUUUCUUGGCUUAAUCUCAUCUGAAAUCAAACAUUAUUACACCACAUUGAGAUGCAUAACAUAUAGUAAUGUCUCUGUA